This 3700-nucleotide long non-coding RNA is filed under the name Piliocolobus tephrosceles (Ugandan red Colobus). RNAcentral's name for it is "lncRNA (ENSPTEG00000015815.1)". The record is from RNAcentral. Lineage: Eukaryota; Metazoa; Chordata; Mammalia; Primates; Cercopithecidae.
AAAAAAAAAAAAAAAUGAAUGAUAAAAAUAACAACUUCAAUGAGAAGAACAGGAACAAUAAUAAUACAUAUCAUAAAAACAAAAAUUAUGUAAAUAAAUCAUUAUAUAACAACAGUAAUUAUGGAAAUUACAAUGCGCAAAGUACUUAUAUGAACACUUUGAAUAAUUUUAAUAAUAAUACGAUGGGCGGUUACUCCAGUAAUAGUGUUUAUCAAAAUAGUGGUUACCCCUCGAAUAGUAUUUAUCAAAAUAGUGUUUACCAAAAUAAUAAUAAUUAUAUUUUUAACAAAAGUGACAAUAGUUAUUAUUCUAAUGUAAGCAACAACAAUUAUUAUUCAAAUAUAAAUAAUAAUUAUUAUUUAAAUUUAAAUAACACUGCAAGUAGUUUAAAUUAUAACAACUUAAAUUCUUUUGUUAAUUACAGUAAUACAACUAGUGAGGACAUUAAAACGGAUAAAGAAGGAGAUGAUAAAAACGAAAAAAGUACAUUUGACCUUACAAAUAUGAAUGAUAGUUAUGUAGAAUUAUAUAUUAAUAAAGUAAAAGAAAUAUAUUAUUUUCAUGUAUUUUAUCAUUAUUUGAAAUUAGGUUACCCUGAAAAAGAAGCAGCGGUAGAAUCGAAAAAAUAUAUUUAUAUAACUUUGAAUAAAUAUUUUUUAUUAGUUAAAAAUGCUAUAUUAGCAUCACCUGAAUCAGUUAAACAAAUAAAUAAUUGUGUUUCUUCGAAUUUGUCAUAUUAUAAACAACAAACAAAUUUACAAGAGUUUUUAUUACAACAGCAAUCGCAAUUACAAAAUGUAGUAUCGCAAAAAAUGAACAUAUAUGACCAAAUGAAUUUAAAUAAUAUAAACAAUCUGAAUGGUAUAAAUAUUGGUAACAUUAGCAUACCAUUGGAUAGUCACGAUAAAAUAUCAGAUAUAUCAAAUUUGGAAUCAGGUGACUUAAUACAAAAUGAUAAAAAGUGUAACAAUAGUAGUAGUGUUAAUAAAGAUAAUAGUGCGACUUAUGACUUGAACACCGAAGUAAAUAAUUCCAGUGUAGAUAAUUCGUUCAUUUCUGCUACAUGUAAUAGUCCCGCUACGUCUGUUACUACUACCACUACCACGCCUGUAACUACUACAAGACAAACUAAUGAAAAUCACGAUGUAACAAAUUUAUACAAUUUAAAAGCUGAUAAGAUAAAUAAUAUGCUCAAUUCUAUUGAAGAAAUGAAAAAGUUAAAUAAUAAUAAAAAAGAAAAAAAUAUAUUAUAUGAUGUGAACCCUGGUGAAACUGUGGGUAAUGUAUUAGAUUAUUCAUACAAUAAUAAUAAUGGUUUAAGUAACACUGACCCUAAUAAAUACAACACAAAUAGUAUAUUUUCAUAUAACUAUAACGGUAUCUAUAACAACAGCAGUAAUAUUAUUGAUAAUGAUUAUUAUAAAAAUGGUAAAAGUCCUAAUAUCCCUUUUAAAAAUAAUGAGAAAAAAAAAAAAAAAAUAAGUUUUACAAUAAAUAAAUCAGCAAAUAAAAUUUUUCAGUUAUAUAACAAACAAGGUAGUAAUCAUAAGCAUAACGAAAAUAUGAGUGACAAUAUAAGCGAUAUUAGUGAUUUGAGUGAUAAUAACAAAAAUAACAAUAAACUAAAUAAUUUCAAUACAGAAUAUUUAAAUAAUAUUCAGAAUGAAAAAUGUGAUGAUAUUGAUACUAGUAGUAACAAUAUUAAUCGUAUGAUGGGUGUAGAUUUGUCAAAUAUGACAAACUAUAACAAUAGAAACGAUAAUAAUAAUAAUAAUAAUAAUAAUAAUAAUAAUAAUAAUAAUAAUAAUGAUUAUAACAACAGGAAUGAGUGUCAAAGCUUGUAUGCAAUAAACAAAGUAAAUAAAAAAACCACAAAAAAUGAUAUACUAACAAAUAAUGUUGAGGAUGUUGGUGAAACUAUAGGAAAUCAGGCAAAUCAUAUUUUUGAUAACAAUAAUAAUGUACUGAACAUGAACAAAUAUAAUACAAUUUAUAAUAAAAAUGCGAUUAACAAUAGUGCUAGAGGUUUGUAUGAUUGUCAAAAGGGUAGCAAUAGUAGUAAUGUGAAUAUGUUAAAUAGAAAUGUAUUAAAAAGUGGUGUGGUUGUGACACAAUCUCAACAUGGUAGCGGUUAUAAUAAUAGCGGUUAUAAUGACAAUGCAUAUAGUUAUAACGAUUAUGCUGAUAAUAGUUAUAGGACUAUGCAAGAACACAGUUUGACAAAAAAUGAUGAAAACGAUGAAAACGAAAACGAAAACGAAAACGAGAAUGAUGAUAACAUGUAUGGUUACGAUUUAUAUAACAACAAAGCAUGGCCCAAAAAGUGUGCCAAAGAAAAAUGCAUAAUUAAUAGUAUUAUGCAAAAAUCAAAGUCGAAACAAAAGCUUAGCCCGAGUCCGAGUCCGAGUCCGAGUCAGGGCCAGGGUCAGGGUCAGGGUCAGGGUCAGGGUCAGGGUCAGAAUCAGGGUCAGAAUCAGGGUCAGGGUCAGGGUCAGGGUCAGGGUCAGGGUCAGAAUCAGGGUCAGAAUCAGGGUCAGAAUCAGGAUCAGAAUCAGGGUCAGAAUCAGGAUCAGAAUCAGGGUCAGGGUCAGAAUCACAGGCAAACUGAUUUUAAGUUGGAUGAAGAUUCCUGUCAUGACAAAUCGGGCAGUAUAUAUAAGUGGGAACAUGAGCAAGAUCAAGUAUACAACAACAAAAACAAAAACAAAAAUAAUACUAUGAACAGUUUUAAAGAAGAUGAACAGGAUGAUACCAUUAUUAAUUACAAUAAUGCUAAAAGCUUGAUUAACAAAUAUGGUACUAAUAAUAACAUUGCUAUUGUUAGUGGUAAUACCAACACAAUUGAUAAUAGUAACAUUUCCAUUAAUCUUAGUAAUAAUAUUAAUCAGAUUUAUGAUUUUAAUAAUAAUUUAAAAAUAACAAAUAACCAAGAAAAUAAAAUAAAUAAACUGCACAUGUUAGAUUUUUUUUCAAAUACAAAUGAAAGUAAAAAUAAAAUUAACAAUUUCAAUUCGUACAUAAAUAAUUUGAAUGAACAUUUUAGGGAACAAUGCAAAAAUAAAGAGUUUUCUAAGUGCUUAAAAUUAUUUAUAAACAAAUUAAUUUCUUUAAAAAAAAAAAAAAUCAUAAGAACUUCUUUUUGGUUGGACAAUGUGUUACCUACAAAGGAGGAGGUUAUGUCAAUGGAUGUUUAUUUUUUUUCUCAUCAAACAAGAGCGAAAAGAAAAAUGGAUAAUGACAUUGUGAUAGAUGAAGAUAUAAUGAAUCUUGUUUUAAAUGACAAGAAAGUGAAGCUCAGCACAGAAGAAAUUGAAAAAAGAGCAAAAAGAAAUAACAAAUGUUAUGAUAUUAAUAAAAACAAAAAAAACGAAUUUAACGAAAAUAUUUUUUAUAUUGAUGUAAAUGGUGAUGAAACAAGUGAAAAUUAUAAAAAACUUGAAAAAUUAAUUGAUAAAUACAAUUAUUCUAAUUGUUAUAAGAAUAAGGAUUUUAUUGGAGAUUGUAAAAGUAUUCAAAAGUUUUUUUUCCGAUUGACUUCCUUGCCGGAGAAAAAAAACGUAACAUGUUUUGUGUCCAUAUAUAUAUAUAUAUAUAUAUAUAUAUAUAUUUUGCAAAAAAAAAUAAAAACAAAAACAUGUGUUCACGCGUAGAUUUUUGCUUUUAUAUAGAUGUAAUAACAAUAAAAUAUUAAAUUGUGUCA